RNAcentral lists this ribosomal RNA (329 nucleotides) under uncultured eukaryote. RNAcentral's name for it is "partial 18S ribosomal RNA". It matches the Rfam family "Eukaryotic small subunit ribosomal RNA", at positions 1470 to 1796 of the family's 1831-position model. The record is from RNAcentral.
CCCUUAGAUGUUCUGGGCCGCACGCGCGCUACACUGAUGCAUUCAACGAGUCUAAAACCUGCUCUGAUAGGGGUGGGUAAUCUUUUAAAUGUGCAUCGUGAUUGGGAUAGAUGAUUGCAAUUUUUCAUCUUCAACGAGGAAUGCCUAGUAAACGCAAGUCAUCAGCUUGCAUUGAUUACGUCCCUGCCCUUUGUACACACCGCCCGUCGCUCCUACCGAUUGAAUGAUCCGAUGAAUAUCAUGGAUUGAGGAUGCAAGUAGGUUCGCCUAUCUUCAUCUUCGAGAAGUGAAGUAAAUCUUAUCAUUUAGAGGAAGGAGAAGUCGUAACA